Long non-coding RNA from Lathyrus oleraceus (garden pea), 831 nucleotides. RefSeq lists it as uncharacterized. The transcript is spliced from 3 exons. The record is from RefSeq and is a predicted model, not a curated record. NCBI's taxonomy places the organism in Eukaryota, Viridiplantae, Streptophyta, Magnoliopsida, Fabales, Fabaceae.
UCAAAUUUCUUUUAUCAUUUCUCUCACUUCUCACAUAUCACUUUUCACUUCCAUUUUCUCUCACCACGAGAAUCACUUUUUCUUCCUCUUGUUCUUUAUUUUCUUCUUCUCUUCCUCCUAUGUAAAAACCUAAAUCGAUAUUCUUCUUCAUUUUUCGAGUAAAAUCAAAUCCAUGUUUCAAAUGGUAGAAAAUUAGUAGUGAGAUUGUUCCUGCGAGAUUCCGAUUGUUAGGUUCGAAUCACGUGUUAUAUAACAUUAUUCUAUUUUUCUUUGUUUGCUUAGGAUUGUGUGUAGUUGAAGUUUAAAACUUAAUGAAAAUGAUAAUGAUGGUAUUGUCUUUGUUGGUUUGUUAUAUUAUUAUUAUUAUUAUUUUGUCGAUGGUGAUUGUUGUUUGUUGAUUUCUUGUUGGUGUGGUAAAAGGUUGAUGAGGGAAAUAGUGGUGUAGGUUUGAAUGAUGAUGAUAUCUUGAAGAUGGUGAGUUAUUAUUAUGUAUUUGAAUCAUAUGUUUUUGAUUUGUUGUUUUUUACAGCGAUGUGCGGUUUCACGAUAGUAUAUAUGUGAUGGCGACAAUCAUGACUUUCUAAAGCACUUAUUCACAUAUUAUCAACAAGCACGAAUGUUUACAAAUGAGUUAAGUUUUCAAUUUUCAACCAACUCAAGGUGUGUCCAUUCAUUACUACUUGUCGCCAUAAUAGAAGCAGAAGAGAUAUCUGGUGCAAAUCCUUUUGAAGUUUUGAACUUGGGUAUGUUGAAUUGUAUUAGUGUGUCAAAGUGUCAAAGCAUGUUGUUUCAUACAUGAUUUCGACUUAAGCCUAUUUUUAGUAGUGUUGA